GUCUAUGGCCACGCCACCCUGAACAAGCCCGAUCCCAUCUGAUCUCGGAAGCUAAGCAGAGUCGGGCCUGGUUAGUACUUGGAUGAGAGACCACCUAGGAAGACCAGGUGCUGUAGGUG
RNAcentral lists this ribosomal RNA (119 nucleotides) under Pteropus alecto (black flying fox). The record is from RNAcentral. Lineage: Eukaryota; Metazoa; Chordata; Mammalia; Chiroptera; Pteropodidae.